This 485-nucleotide ribosomal RNA is filed under the name uncultured bacterium. RNAcentral describes it as "partial 16S ribosomal RNA". It matches the Rfam family "Bacterial small subunit ribosomal RNA", at positions 30 to 507 of the family's 1533-position model. The record is from RNAcentral.
UUGAACGCUGGCGGCAUGCCUUACCCAUGCCAGUCGCACGGCAGCACGGGUGCUUGCACCUGGUGGCGAGUGGCGAACGGGUGAGUAAUACAUCGGAACAUGUCCUGUAGUGGGGGAUAGCCCGGCGAAAGCCGGAUUAAUACCGCAUACGAUCCACGGAUGAAAGCGGGGGACCUUCGGGCCUCGCGCUAUAGGGUUGGCCGAUGGCUGAUUAGCUAGUUGGUGGGGUAAAGGCCUACCAAGGCGACGAUCAGUAGCUGGUCUGAGAGGACGACCAGCCACACUGGGACUGAGACACGGCCCAGACUCCUACGGGAGGCAGCAGUGGGGAAUUUUGGACAAUGGGCGAAAGCCUGAUCCAGCAAUGCCGCGUGUGUGAAGAAGGCCUUCGGGUUGUAAAGCACUUUUGUCCGGAAAGAAAUCCUUGACUCUAAUACAGUCGGGGGAUGACGGUACCGGAAGAAUAAGCACCGGCUAACUACGUG